AUUAAACGCUGGCGGCAUGCCUUACACAUGCAAGUCGAACGGCAGCACGGGGGCAACCCUGGUGGCGAGUGGCGAACGGGUGAGUAAAGCAUCGGAACGUGCCCUGGAGUGGGGGAGUAACGUAGCGAAAGUUACGCUAAUACCGCAUAUUCUGUGAGCAGGAAAGCAGGGGAUCGCAAGACCUUGCGCUCUGGGAGCGGCCGAUGUCGGAUUAGCUAGUUGGUGGGGUAAAGGCCUACCAAGGCGACGAUCCGUAGCGGGUCUGAGAGGAUGAUCCGCCACACUGGGACUGAGACACGGCCCAGACUCCUACGGGAGGCAGCAGUGGGGAAGUUUUGGUACAAUGGGCGGAAAGACCUGAUCCAGCCAUGCCGCGUGAGUGAAGAAGGCC
This 391-nucleotide ribosomal RNA is filed under the name uncultured bacterium. RNAcentral describes it as "bacterial SSU rRNA". It matches the Rfam family "Bacterial small subunit ribosomal RNA", at positions 29 to 416 of the family's 1533-position model. The record is from RNAcentral.